AACGCACCUUGCGCUCUAUGGCAAUCCGUAGAGCAUGCCUGUUUGAGUGCCAUGAAAUCUCCCACCCCAAGCGGUUUUUAAAUGAAACGGCUUGGCGGAUGGGGUCUGGAUGGGUGCCUCUGCCUGCGCUACCUAGCACAGGCUCGCCCGAAAUGCAUGAGCGCCUUGAGACACUUUGCAUCCGCCUCUCUGUUUGGGAGGAGGCGGCCAAGCAGUGUUUUUCUCCUGGCAUGGCAUGAUACGUCAUUUGCUAUGUCGCCUAAAGGAGGAAUGUUUGGUUGUGUCUGCGUGUGCUUCGAACUUGCCUCUGUGGCACAUCCCAAUUUCACUUCUGGUCUCAAAUCAGGUAGGAUCACCCGCUGAACUUAA
Molecule: non-coding RNA, 369 nt
Filed under: uncultured fungus
Lineage: Eukaryota; Fungi
Also listed under: 2 other names
Source: RNAcentral